UGAGGAAUUUUCCGCAAUGGGCGAAAGCCUGACGGAGCGACGCCGUGUGUGCGAUGAAGUCCUUCGGGACGUAAAGCACUGUCAGUGGGGAAGAUAUUGACGGUACCCACAGAGGAAGGCCCGGCUAACUACGUGCCAGCAGCCGCGGUAAUACGUAGGGGCCAAGCGUUGUCCGGAAUCAUUGGGCGUAAAGGGUGCGUAGGCGGCCCGGUAAGUCGGAUGUUAAAUCUACAGGCUCAACCUGUAGCCGCAUCUGAUACUGCCAGGCUAGAGAAUGGUAGAGGAAAGCGGAACUUCCGGUGUAGCGGUGAAAUGCGUAGAUAUCGGAAGGAACACCAGUGGCGAAGGCGGCUUUCUGGACCAUUUCUGACGCUGAGGCACGAAAGCUAGGGGAGCAAACGGG
RNAcentral lists this ribosomal RNA (403 nucleotides) under uncultured bacterium. RNAcentral describes it as "bacterial SSU rRNA". It matches the Rfam family "Bacterial small subunit ribosomal RNA", at positions 355 to 776 of the family's 1533-position model. The record is from RNAcentral.